Molecule: non-coding RNA, 27 nt
Filed under: Mus musculus (house mouse)
Lineage: Eukaryota; Metazoa; Chordata; Mammalia; Rodentia; Muridae
Source: RNAcentral
UGGAGAUGUCUAGUGGCAGAGUGAUGU